Molecule: ribosomal RNA, 253 nt
Filed under: uncultured bacterium
Lineage: Bacteria
Description: partial 16S ribosomal RNA
Rfam family: Bacterial small subunit ribosomal RNA
Source: RNAcentral
UACAGAGGUGGCAAGCGUUGUUCGGAAUUACUGGGUGUAAAGGGCGCGUAGGCGGUGAUAUGAGUGUGAUGUGAAAGCCCCGGGCUUAACCUGGGAAGUGCAUCGCAAACGAUAUGACUGGAGUAUAUGAGAGGGUGGCGGAAUUUCCGGUGUAGCGGUGAAAUGCGUAGAGAUCGGAAGGAACGUCAAUGGCGAAGGCAGCCACCUGGCAUAAUACUGACGCUGAGGCGCGAAAGCGUGGGGAGCGAACAGG